AUGCAGUCGAACGGUAACAGGGAGCUUGCUCCGCUGACGAGUGGCGAACGGGUGAGUAAUGCGUCGGAACGUGCCGAGUAGUGGGGGAUAACGCAUCGAAAGGUGUGCUAAUACCGCAUACGUACUGAGGUAGAAAGUGGGGGACCUUCGGGCCUCACGCUAUUCGAGCGGCCGACGUCUGAUUAGCUAGUUGGUGAGGUAAAGGCUCACCAAGGCGACGAUCAGUAGCGGGUCUGAGAGGAUGAUCCGCCACACUGGGACUGAGACACGGCCCAGACUCCUACGGGAGGCAGCAGUGGGGAAUUUUGGACAAUGGGCGCAAGCCUGAUCCAGCCAUGCCGCGUGUCUGAAGAAGGCCUUCGGGUUGUAAAGGACUUUUGUCCGGGAGCAAAUGCUGGUGGCUAACAUCCACCGGAGCUGAGAGUACCGGAAGAAUAAGCACCGGCUAACUACGUGCCAGCAGCCGCGGUAAUACGUAGGGUGCAAGCGUUAAUCGGAAUUACUGGGCGUAAAGCGUGCGCAGGCGGUUUUGUAAGCCAGAUGUGAAAGCCCCGGGCUCAACCUGGGAACUGCGUUUGGAACUACAAGACUAGAGUGUGUCAGAGGGGGGUGGAAUUCCGCGUGUAGCAGUGAAAUGCGUAGAGAUGCGGAGGAACACCGAUGGCGAAGGCAGCCCCCUGGGAUAACACUGACGCUCAUGCCGA
This 704-nucleotide ribosomal RNA is filed under the name Vogesella alkaliphila. Its description in RNAcentral is "bacterial SSU rRNA". It matches the Rfam family "Bacterial small subunit ribosomal RNA", at positions 55 to 756 of the family's 1533-position model. The record is from RNAcentral. Lineage: Bacteria; Pseudomonadati; Pseudomonadota; Betaproteobacteria; Neisseriales; Chromobacteriaceae.